This 61-nucleotide small RNA is filed under the name Sinorhizobium meliloti 2011. Its description in RNAcentral is "putative ncRNA". Lineage: Bacteria; Pseudomonadati; Pseudomonadota; Alphaproteobacteria; Hyphomicrobiales; Rhizobiaceae. The record is from RNAcentral.
CCCAGUAAAGCUCGUUCUCGGGCAGACCCUUCGGUAUCCAAAGGCCGUCGGUGUCGAACUU